UACGAAGGGUGCAAGCGUUACUCGGAAUUACUGGGCGUAAAGCGUGCGUAGGUGGUUUGUUAAGUCAGAUGUGAAAGCCCCGGGCUCAACCUGGGAAUUGCAUUUGAUACUGGCUAACUAGAGUGAGGUAGAGGAGAGUGGAAUUCCCGGUGUAGCAGUGAAAUGCGUAGAGAUCGGGAGGAACAUCAGUUGCGAAGGCGGCCAUCUGGGACAACACUGACGCUGAAGCACGAAAGCGUGGGGAGCAAACAGG
RNAcentral lists this ribosomal RNA (253 nucleotides) under uncultured bacterium. RNAcentral's name for it is "partial 16S ribosomal RNA". It matches the Rfam family "Bacterial small subunit ribosomal RNA", at positions 524 to 776 of the family's 1533-position model. The record is from RNAcentral.